GAUAUUCAGCUUGGUUGGUGGUGGAAGUGGUUUCUCAACUCCAUUAGAUGGUGUGAUAUGUUCAAUUACUGUUUCUUUGUCAAGAACCCAGAAAAUUUAUGUAUCGGCUUGCCGUGUGAAGUUUGGGAGAUUUUGACUCUUGCGGUAGAGAUGAGAUAGGUAUUCAUGAGUUUAAGCAUUUUUGCAUACUGUUCAAUUUCAUCGGCAUACAGUAUUGCCUUUAUUUGGCAUUCCUGAAAGUAAGAGUUGUAGAGAUCUGAGAAUAAGUCAAACUAUUUACUAAGAGUAAAACAAAACAAAAAUUUU
This 306-nucleotide unclassified non-coding RNA is filed under the name Hevea brasiliensis (rubber tree). The record is from RNAcentral. Lineage: Eukaryota; Viridiplantae; Streptophyta; Magnoliopsida; Malpighiales; Euphorbiaceae.